AGUAGUUUGUAUCCUGGCUCGAGGUAGUGAACGCUCGGCGGCGUGGCUUAACUACAUGCAAGUCGAACGGGGUUAAGUUCAGUUUUUGUAAGCGAUUAGCUUGCUAAGAGUGGAAAAGUUGAUAACUUAGUGGCGGACGGGUGAGUAACGCGUGGGUAACCUGCCUUACACAGGGGGAGUAACACUUAGAAAUAGGUGCUAAUACCGCAUAAGCGCACAGUCCCGCAUGGGACAGAGUGAAAAACAUUAGUGGUGUAAGAUGGACCCGCGUCUGAUUAGGCUUGUUGGCGGGGUAACGGCCCACCAAGGCGACGAUCAGUAGCCGGCCUGAGAGGGUGGACGGCCACAUUGGGACUGAGACACGGCCCAAACUCCUACGGGAGGCAGCAGUGGGGGAUAUUGGACAAUGGGGGAAACCCUGAUCCAGCGACGCCGCGUGAGUGAAGAAGUAUUUCGGUAUGUAAAGUCUCUAUCAGCAGGGAAGAAAGAAAUGACGGUACCUGAGUAAGAAGCCCCGGCUAACUACGUG
RNAcentral lists this ribosomal RNA (529 nucleotides) under uncultured Lachnospiraceae bacterium. Its description in RNAcentral is "bacterial SSU rRNA". It matches the Rfam family "Bacterial small subunit ribosomal RNA", at positions 1 to 507 of the family's 1533-position model. The record is from RNAcentral. Lineage: Bacteria; Bacillati; Bacillota; Clostridia; Lachnospirales; Lachnospiraceae.